This 701-nucleotide ribosomal RNA is filed under the name Bacillus subtilis. Its description in RNAcentral is "bacterial SSU rRNA". It matches the Rfam family "Bacterial small subunit ribosomal RNA", at positions 98 to 784 of the family's 1533-position model. Lineage: Bacteria; Bacillati; Bacillota; Bacilli; Caryophanales; Bacillaceae. The record is from RNAcentral.
GCGGACGGGUGAGUAACACGUGGGUAACCUGCCUGUAAGACUGGGAUAACUCCGGGAAACCGGGGCUAAUACCGGAUGGUUGUUUGAACCGCAUGGUUCAAACAUAAAAGGUGGCUUCGGCUACCACUUACAGAUGGACCCGCGGCGCAUUAGCUAGUUGGUGAGGUAACGGCUCACCAAGGCGACGAUGCGUAGCCGACCUGAGAGGGUGAUCGGCCACACUGGGACUGAGACACGGCCCAGACUCCUACGGGAGGCAGCAGUAGGGAAUCUUCCGCAAUGGACGAAAGUCUGACGGAGCAACGCCGCGUGAGUGAUGAAGGUUUUCGGAUCGUAAAGCUCUGUUGUUAGGGAAGAACAAGUACCGUUCGAAUAGGGCGGUACCUUGACGGUACCUAACCAGAAAGCCACGGCUAACUACGUGCCAGCAGCCGCGGUAAUACGUAGGUGGCAAGCGUUGUCCGGAAUUAUUGGGCGUAAAGGGCUCGCAGGCGGUUUCUUAAGUCUGAUGUGAAAGCCCCCGGCUCAACCGGGGAGGGUCAUUGGAAACUGGGGAACUUGAGUGCAGAAGAGGAGAGUGGAAUUCCACGUGUAGCGGUGAAAUGCGUAGAGAUGUGGAGGAACACCAGUGGCGAAGGCGACUCUCUGGUCUGUAACUGACGCUGAGGAGCGAAAGCGUGGGGAGCGAACAGGAUUAGAUA